GUGCUCGCUUCGGCAGCAUGCAUACUAAAAUUGGAACGAUACAGAGAAGAUUAGGGCCCCUGUGCAAGGAUGACAUGCAAAUUUGUGAAGCGUUCCAUAUUUAA
Molecule: small nuclear RNA, 104 nt
Organism: Nomascus leucogenys (northern white-cheeked gibbon)
Lineage: Eukaryota; Metazoa; Chordata; Mammalia; Primates; Hylobatidae
Source: Ensembl